AUGUCGACCUCCUCUUUUGACUGUUCUGGCCUCUUGCGCUAUAUGCAAGGUUAGUUUAAACCCAACUCUUUUGGCACCUUUUGCUUAGCCAUCACAACAUUACCCUCACCCAACAUCAUUCAAGACCUUGUCCUCAAGGUCGAACUCAGGGUAAACUUGCGCUAGUUGAACACAAUCCUCCCAUGAGUUAUCAUGAGUGAGUCCCUGCCAAUGUAUCAAAACCUGUUGAAUUGGUCGCCUAUUGCGGAGAAUCUGGCGAAGCUAUAAAAUGGCAAGCGGUUGUAUCACCGGACCUGCCUCAUUAAAAAUGAAUGGAAGACACUAUGUCUCCGGUAUAGUUGUAGCAUCUCCUUCAAACUUUUUGGGUAGAGAGACAUAAAACACCGGUGGAUGUGAGAGUAUUCCGGUAGCAGUAAUUGAUAAGCAACAGAGCCUAUACUGUGAGUGAUUUGAAAUAUACCGAAAUACCUCAUACCCAACUUUUGAUUCUUGUGCAAUGUAAGAGAAUGUUGUCGGUACGGCUGUAAUUUCACUAAUAUCCACUCACUAACAGCAAAAGAGAUCUCAAUUCUUUGUUUAUCAGAUAAUUACUUCAUUCUUGUCCUUGUUUUGAGUAAAUUUUGUUGAAACUGUUAUAGAAUUUUGUCUCUAGAAGAAAGCAACUGAGCUAGCUCUGGAGGAUCUCUAUCAUUCAAGUAAUAAGAAAGUAUUGUUGGAGGAUCAAGGCCAUACACAAUUUGAAAUGGAGUCAUGCCAACACUCCUAUGGAAUGUUGAAUUAUACCAAAUUUAGUCGUCUACUUGGCCCAAUUAUCACUCCUCCGGUUGAUUCCUUUUUUUUGUUCACCGAAGUCUAGUCUCUCUCUCGCCGUCUACCAGUCUCUCUGUCACCAUCUACUCGGUAGCCAUCUCUUCUCGCAAAGGGUGUGAACGAUGAUAUUUGUGUUGUUUUUUUUACUAUUUUCCUUUUGUUUUCCUCUCGAUUGGUUGUAAUUUUUUUUCAGUGUUCCAUUCUUGUUAUUUCUUACAGAUCUGCAAGGACAUCAAUUUUUUUUUUAUUGAUUCUAGUUAUAUGCAAUCUUCUUACCAUCAUUUUCCCUCAAUUUGCUUUCUCCUUAAGAUUUUCAAAGGAUGCGAAAGUGUGUGUAAAUUUUUUUCAGGCUUUGUCUUCUGUCGUUCUUCUUGUUUCUUACAGAUCUGCAAGAAAAUCAAAUUAUAUUUUUUUUAUUGCUUCUGAUUAUCAUUUAAAUGAGCUUCAUUUGUCUUUACUGUUGUCGCUGUCAAUUCUAAGUUCAAUACUGACUUCAAUGUUGAGAACAUUGAAAAUCAUUAUCAAACUUUGAAAUUGCGAUAUGUUGAGAUAAAAAGGUGAGAGAUCUCAAUGGGGCAAGUUGGGAUGAUGCCAUGAAUACCAUCACACUUGAUUCUAUGGUUGCUCUGACCUACGUCGAGGUAACAUGGUUCACCUUUCAUUAAAACAAUAUUAUGGCGUAUGCAUGUACAUGUGUACUUUGUUGUUAAUGUCAUUGUAAUAUAGGCUCACCGGCUGCCAAGGAUUUUAUAAACAAACCAAUUGAACAUUAUAAAGCAUUGAGGAUUCUAUGUGGUGAGGACAAUGCAACGAGCGCGUAUGCGACCUUUCUAUACACUGAUUUCAAGGAUAAAUCAGAGCACGAAGGCAACAAUAUGGAGAACUUUGAUGAAGUCCCAGUUGAAUAGCCAAGCGAUGAUGAUGCUGAUGCGAACUCUUCCCUACUUGUUGUUGGUAGCCCCGCCACAUCAUCUGCACAAAGGUCACAAUGUUCAAGUAGGGGUUCAAAGAACCCUUCUAUGAUGGGUGAUCUCAUUAUUGUAGUAGGAGAAAUGGCAUCUGCCAUUAAGAACCCCACCUACUGAAUGGAGACCUUGUAUGCAAAGGUUAUGGAGGUUGAUGUUUUUCAAAAGAAGGAACUUGUUAAGGUGUUUGAUUAUCUGCAGCUUUGUGAGAAUGAGGCAAGAGGAUUCCUAGUGAAGGAUAUGGAACUCAGGAAGGAUUGGAUUGAAAAAUUUCUAUCUAGGAUGGAUUGAUUCAGCAUUUACAAUGCUUGGGCCUCUUAACUAGAUCCUGCUUCUACUACCUAGUUAUUUUAUUGUAUGUCCCUACAUUUCAUGCAUCAUGACUCUUAUGUUUUGUUAUAGGGUGACCUAGCAAUGGACAUCUUGUUGUGGUUCCAUCCUUUUAUGCAUUUCAUUUGUUUUGGCUUUUUGCAUUUUAUGUUGUUGACAUGUGUAUGUUUGUCGAAACCUACUUUUAUUUCUGUUGCUAUGCUAGGUUUGGAUAUUUUUGUGUUUGUCACUAACAUGGCUAUCUUUCUUUUGUUUUUGUUUGAAUUUCAGGUUAUGAUAUAAUGGCAAUGAUGAAAAGCAAAUUGUGACAUUGCACUGAGGCACAAUCUCGUAUUAUGGGACAAAAUCCAAAUUGGGGCACUGGUAGGGCAAAAUGACGGGCAUUUCGCUGCCAAUCUUUUGCAGCCAUUACGUAUCUGAUUUGGUAAUUGGGUUUCCUAUGCAUUUUUCAAAUUUUGGAAUGUAUGGACAUAUUUUUUUUAUAUGAUUAUUUGUUUUAAACUGAUUUACACAAGUGUGGCGAGGCAAUUAGAAGGUACAUGAUGCCACCAUUGCAGCCACCUUGUAUAGUUUCUGGUCGCUUCGGUUGUUUUCACAAAUAAAACAGUGCAAAUGAAUGUGCUUAUUAUCACUCUUGCUAUUACCUGAGCCAUGCCAAGAAUACAGGACUUGCUUUGGUUCAACACCAGUCAGACAUGUGGAACCGUGGAAAGGUUGAACAAACAUGAGCUCCUGCUAAAAAUUUUGCAGCUACUUACUGAUCUGAAUCAUCCUUGAGGAGACGUUUAUGAGGCAUGUGGAUGGGUUCCCUUUGAGGUUUAAAGGGGGAAAAAGACGUUUGGAACAAUGCCUUGAGGCAGCAUCAGAGAAACGACCAACAGAGGUACUACAAAUAUAGUUGCUCAGCCAAGACAACGUUGGUCUUCUAUUCAAACCUCUGAGUAUAUUUUGGAAAACUGGGUUACAGACUUGAAGAUCAGAAGAGCAGAGAUCUCGAAUGAAAUCGGCAUAGCAAUAAAUACCUUAAAAACAGUGUAAUAUAGCUUUGGAAUAUUUUGCAUAUUCAUUUAUGUGAUGUAAUUUAACUUUGGAAUAUUUUGCAUAUUGGAGGGUGUAAUAUAUCUUGUUUAUAACGCUAAUUUUUUGUGGGCGUUAACAUUACUGUAUGGGUGAUUAAAAGGUUUGUUAAAAAAGUUUGAUAGAUGAUAUUUA
Molecule: long non-coding RNA, 3317 nt
Organism: Dioscorea cayenensis subsp. rotundata (Guinea yam)
Lineage: Eukaryota; Viridiplantae; Streptophyta; Magnoliopsida; Dioscoreales; Dioscoreaceae
Exons: 4
Source: RefSeq, a predicted model, not a curated record